Cuculus canorus (common cuckoo) is the source of this 4144-nucleotide long non-coding RNA. RefSeq lists it as uncharacterized. Lineage: Eukaryota; Metazoa; Chordata; Aves; Cuculiformes; Cuculidae. The record is from RefSeq and is a predicted model, not a curated record. The transcript is spliced from 6 exons.
AGAGGAACCCUCCCCAAAGGGACAGAGAGCUUGUGUGCACUGUUAUGUAUAGGAUGGCUCAGCUUUGCCGGGGGUGGGUAUCACCCCAUUAAUUGCAGUCACAGGUUGGAUCAGACCUAACCUGACUCUUGCUAUCUGUAGUUGAAAGCUGCUGCAGGAUUUUCAAGGCAGGGCUUCCUGUAAAACACCCUAACAGAUAAAUUCAGUUUUGCAGGAUGUCUGGAUGUUGGGGGGGGGGGGUGUUUCUUUUUGUUUCUGUCAAAACUGGACUGAUAAAACUAAAGGAAUUGGCGCAGAUUCCUUACCAUCAGGGGACUAGCUGGUGGUGCCUUAGUUUGGCCAUGAUAAGCUUUCUAUUGCAGUGACAGUCCUGGUGGCACGCAGAGCCACGAGGGUCAGUCCCUAACAUAGACCUAGUCUAAAUUAUUCCCACAAACUACUGCUGUGAAUGCUGCCAUGCCACCCAGGAAACCCUGCGGGAAUCCAGCCACUGCUGCUCCGAAUUCUUGUUCUGCGGUCUCUGCAUGCGUGAACCUGCUAACCCUGGACCAUCCGGCGUUCAAAUGUCAGAGCUGCAUGCCUGCUUACUGAACUAAGGAGGUCACACACAGGCAGCCUGCUGAAGUUUCCUGUGUUCAGCGGGGUUGCCUUGCCUGCAUCCUGUUGGCCUCGUGCAGUUGGUGCUGACCUUCAUGGGAGGUUGGCUCCCCUCUGAGCACCCGACACGAGCCCCUCCCCAGCUUUCCUGGAGCCCCUUUCUGUACUGGAAGCUGCUCUAAGGUCUCCCUGCAGCCCUCUCUUCUCCAGGCUGAACAAUCCCAGCUCUCCCAGCCUGUCCUCCUGCGGGAUGUGCUCCAACCCUCGGAUCAUCGCUGUGGCCUCCUCUGGACUCGCUCCAAGAGCUCCAUGUCCUUCCUCUGCUGAUGUCGGGCUGAACAACCCCAACUCUCUCAGCCUGUCCUCACACAGGAGGUGCUCCAGCCCUUCGAUCAUCUCCAUGGCCUCCUCUGGAAUCCCUCCAACAGCUUUAUGUCCUUUCUGUCCUGAGGACUCCAGCACCGAACACAGAGUUCCAGCUCGGGGCUGUCGAUGCCGUCCCAGCGCCACGAGCGUUCCUGCAGCUGCGAUGGGUGUGAGGAUCUGGGUACCAGAGGGGACCGAGGACCCCACAGGGGGACUCACCCGCUGGCGCAAGCUUUGCUGCUCCUGCAGCAGCUCCAGGAACCGACUGCUCCACAGCAGCUUCUCAGCGCCCAGCUCGGUGCAGAGGAAGCGGACGUCAGCCUCCAGUGCCUCCAGUCUUUCCAGCACAGCCUCAAAGGUGUCACCUUGCCGCUGUUGCUCUGCCACUGCCCUGACACCACAGCUCUGCUCUUGCCAAAGCCCCGCGGCACCCAUCCUGCCCAGCUUCUGCGCUGGGGACACCCCCGUAGUGCUGGGGACCCACCUGCCUGCCUUGAUUCCAGCGCAGAAUUGGAGUCUCCGUCCUCCUCGCUGCUAUUUUCCAGCCUCAACCACAGCACCGUGCCAAGCUGAAAGCCAGGGUGGACUGACAGGGACAACCAAGCCUGGGUGGCCCCCAGCACCAACUGUGCCCUGGGGACCCACAGCCCCGCUGGCACUGCUGACAGCCGUGUCCUGGGGCAUCGGAGCCCUCCAGAGCCCCCACGGUGUGGGGACAUAGUGGGAGAGUUACCUCCUCGGUGGUCUGGAAGGCGCUGUCCCAGCAGCUCUUGUAGCAGAUCAGCAGGAACUGAGGGAGAGGAUGGUGGCCACGUGGUGAAAGCAGUGGGUGCAAACCCACCUUGGGAGCCCAGAGCCUGGACCAACGUCCCCAUGGCUCUCAGGGGACAGAACUGUCCGGUGCCUCCAGCCAAGAGCCAACCCCCAAGGAUGACAGUCCUGAUCCCUCAAGUCCUGCUGCCAGAUGGGGUGGUGGCACCUCCCAAACCACAACCCUCAGUGCUCCCAGUACAGAGCCCCGGCAGCAUCCCCUGAGCCCUGGUGUGGGACACACGCUGCCUUUGGAGCCAACACAACACGACCUCUUGGGAAGGGGUCCUGCAGUACCAACCCACGCCAGCUUCCAGAGCCAUCGCAGCCCCUGGAGCACCAUCCCGGAGAGUGAGAGGAGCCACCAGCACCCGGCACACAGGAGCUGCCUCCAGCCGGGCACCGGCUGUGCCCGCUGCCUGCCCAUGGUGACCCUGAGGAGCGGGAGAAGCAGCAGUGAUGGCCCCGUGUCCAUCUCACCGUGUGCAUCACCGCACGCCGGCAGCCAGCCCGGUUUGCCGAGGGAUGGGAAAUGUUCCAGCCGAAACGGUGCAGCAGCUUUCCUCGAGGUCAAAGAGGCGCAGCAAGGACUGUUACCCUCUGAAGUUCAGGCGCUCUUGCGAUCCUUGCUUUGAAACAGCAGCAGUAGUGGUCGAAAAGCUGCUUUUGUACCAAAGCCAAAUCAUCAAAAACCAUCAGUGAAGGCUUCUCUUUUCGAGAGCUAUGGAAGAGCAAAGCCUUUGAGGAGCUGAUGCUGUUUCCUAGAUCUUUCACCCACCCCCUAUUUAACCUCUGUAACUUCAACCACAAAGAAGUAGGGCAGCUUCCCACUAAGCCCUCACAUCCCGAGACUCCCUGCGGGAUAAGCCAACUCCCACUGCGGACAAAGACAAAGCUGCCUUGAUCCCUGAACCAGACACCAGAACAAGGGAGAACUUCACUCCUCCCCUUUUGUCUUUGCUCUCAGGUACCAUUCUGCACUGACUGAAGGAGCUGGGAAAGUCCCAAAACACUGCGAAAGCAGAGCAAAACGCACGCUGAGCUGCACCGAAUGCACUCGCCGGGGGGCUGCGAGUAAUUGAGCUUUUCCCCCAGAACCCUCUUCAUCGUCAACAUUUAAACAGACACAAAUGCAUGACAGCACCGGUAAUAAAACCAAGUGAGAAAAGCAAAGCCUAUUUUAACAGCAGCACUGAUAUCCUGACCUGGGUGCUGUGAAAAGCACCUCACGCUCAGCCCUCCGCAUACGCUUCCAGUGGCAAUUAUAGAAUCGUAGAAUAGUUUGGGUUGGAAGGGACCUGAAAGAUCAUCCAGUUCCAACCCCCUGCCAUGGGCAGGGACACAUCCCACUGGAUCAGCUGCCCAAGGCCCAUCCAACCUGGCCUGGAACCCCUCCAGGGAUGGGGCAGCCACAACGCCCCCGGACAACCUGUUCCAGGGCCUCACAGCUCUCGUGGUGAAGAAAUUCCUCCUUAUGUCCAGUCUAAAUCUGCCCCUCUCCAGUUUAUACCCAUUGCCCCUCAUCUUGUCCCCAUAAGCCUUUGUGAACAGCCCCUCUCCAGCUUUCCUGGAGCCCCUUCAGGUACUGGAAGGUCACUCAAAGGUCUCCUGGGAGCCUUCUUUUCUCCAGGCUGAACAACCCCAACUCUCAGCCUGUCCUCAUAUGGAAGGUGCUCCAGCCCUCAGAUCAUCUUUGUAGCCUCCUCUGGACCCGUUCCAACAGCUCCAUCUCAUUCUGAUGUUGAGAAUUCCACAACUGGACACAAUCCUCCAGCUGAGGUCUCCCCAGAGAGGAGCAGAGGGGCAGAAUCCCCUCCCUCCCUGCUGCCCACGCUGCUUUGGAUGCAGCCCAGGACACGGUUGGUUUCUGGGCUGUGAGCGCACAUUGCCGGCUCAUGUCAAGCUCCUCAUCAACCAUCACCCCAAGUCCUUCUCUGCAGGGCUGCUCUCAAUCACAUCAUCCCCCAUCGUGUACUGAAAACAAGAACUGCCCCGACCCAGGUGCAGGCCCUUACACUUGGCCUGGCAGAACCUCAUGAGGUUCUCCCAGUCCCACUUCUCCAGCCUGUCCAGGUCCCUCUGGAUGACAUCCCAUCCUUCCUGUGUGGCAACUACCCUACUCAGCUUGAUGUCAUCCGCAAACCUGCUGAGGGGGCACUCAAUCUCGCUGUCAAUAUCAUUGAUAGAGGUAUUGAACAGCACCGGUCCCAGUACGGACCCCUGAGUGCUCACCCUUUAUCUGCGGGCAUCAUGCCAGUAUCAGCAAGAACCAACUUACAUCCGAGUCCUACCCUGAAGCAGGAUUAGUUGAACACAGCUGGAGAUUAGUGCCUGGAAACCCUCAAAGUACUCAAUGUUAUGUCUACCAGAG